Lepidothrix coronata (blue-crowned manakin) is the source of this 405-nucleotide long non-coding RNA. RefSeq lists it as uncharacterized. The transcript has 3 exons. The record is from RefSeq and is a predicted model, not a curated record. NCBI's taxonomy places the organism in Eukaryota, Metazoa, Chordata, Aves, Passeriformes, Pipridae.
AGGAAACGGAGAUAACGGCAGGCCUGAGCAGGCAGGCCCUGGCCUAUACAGGCAAAGACGUCCGCAGAGAGACCUGUCGCCUUCAACCGGAAGAGAGAAGGGAUUAUUAUAAACAAUACAGUUCCCCUCUGCGGAAUGAAGCCUUGAUGAAGGGAGUCACUGUGCAUUGAAAAUAGAAGGAAUGGAGCAGAUCUGUCAUGCAAGACCACCAGCUCUAGAACUGGAGAUUUUUACUGAGGAAUCAAUUCUCAGCAGGACAGCGGUUACAAGCUCCUGGCAAUUUAAGGAAAAACAUGUCCAGAUGCUCAGAACAGGUUUGACACUUCAAGUGAAGAGACAGAUACAGUACCACCCAGUCCCAAGUGUGCCAAGCUCAUGGAUGAUUCUGAAAUUUUAAGUUCCAGA